RNAcentral lists this ribosomal RNA (253 nucleotides) under uncultured bacterium. Its description in RNAcentral is "partial 16S ribosomal RNA". It matches the Rfam family "Bacterial small subunit ribosomal RNA", at positions 524 to 776 of the family's 1533-position model. The record is from RNAcentral.
UACGUAGGUGGCAAGCGUUGUCCGGAAUUAUUGGGCGUAAAGCGCGCGCAGGUGGUUUCUUAAGUCUGAUGUGAAAGCCCACGGCUCAACCGUGGAGGGUCAUUGGAAACUGGGGAACUUGAGUGCAGGAGAGAAGAGUGGAAUUCCACGUGUAGCGGUGAAAUUCGUAGAUAUCGGGAGGAACACCGGUGGCGAAGGCGGCGACCUGGGUAGAUACUGACGCUGAAGUUCGAAAGCGUGGGGAGCAAACAGG